UUUAUAUUAUUAUAUAAAACUUCAUAAACUUUUUAAAAUGUAAGUUCGUGAAGCACUGUUGAGUACUAGCUUCGGGAAUGGAUCGGUAAAGCAAACUUCCAUUCCCUCCAAAAGUGGCAAGCGAACACAUUCGCUGGCGAGCUAUGUAGGAACCAAACUAUGUUGUUGAAGUUACAAGAGACAUGCACUAUGUGUGAUAGUUAUGAGGACAACGUCAGUUAUCUCGUCAAUUUGCCAUUUUAUGUGAUAUCAAGUUAAAGAAUCUCGUGAAUUAAUACGAGCGUGCUGAUGAACCGGUGUUUUUUACGCUAGACUGCUGCAUGCUAGCGGGCUUCCGUUAGCCACCGAUAGUCCACUGUAUACUUACAGUUUGAACUAGUUUGGGCGCGAAUUCGACGACAGUUUUGUAAGUCGCAUAUAAAUGUGGAGAAUACGUUUGGACUACUGAAUCUUAUUUCAUUUCAUGGUAUGUUUGUUCUUAUGGACCCUCUUUGUGAUGUUUCAGUUCGCUGAAAAGCAUCUAUGGAUGAGUUUAUCAGUUCCAACUUGACUGAGUGGCAGCUACCAGGGCUGAUUGAAAGAUGCCAGGGGAGAAGUCGCCCUGACGCUUCUGCCCAUCCUGCUCCCUCCGCCUGUUUUUAAAAAGGGCAGGAAAUUGGUCCGGGCGACUAUUCAGGAGGUGAAGAGAGCCUUCAUCGAUGUUAAGCCCGUCGGAGCUAACAUGGUGGAAUACUUGCAGCAGGCAGAAUCGCCUACCCAUUUGUGCUGCUGCUCACAGAGCCUCUUGUUCUAUGUAUAUAUCACUCUCUCAUAGCUGUCCCCCUCACUUGUUCUUAAAAUGUUAUUUUUUUGUACAUAAUUUGUUCAUAUGUGAAGGAAAUGUUGUGAGUUGUUAUAUUUGUAUGU
Doryrhamphus excisus (bluestripe pipefish) is the source of this 906-nucleotide non-coding RNA. NCBI's taxonomy places the organism in Eukaryota, Metazoa, Chordata, Actinopteri, Syngnathiformes, Syngnathidae. The record is from RefSeq and is a predicted model, not a curated record.